CCUACGGGGGGCUGCAGUGGGGAAUAUUGCGCAAUGGGCGAAAGCCUGACGCAGCGACGCCGCGUGAGGGAUGAAGGUCUUCGGAUCGUAAACCUCUGUCAGCAGGGAAGAACGGUCACUGUGCUAAUCAGCAGUGAAUUGACGGUACCUGCAAAGGACGCACCGGCUAACUCCGUGCCAGCCGCCGCGGUAAUACGGAGGGUGCGAGCGUUAAUCGGAAUUACUGGGCGUAAAGCGCUCGUAGGCGGUAUGUCAAGUCAAGGGUGAAAUCCCCGCGCUCAACGUGGGAAGUGCCUUUGAAACUGGCAAACUGGAGUGUGUGAGAGGAUAGUGGAAUUCCAGGUGUAGGAGUGAAAUCCGCAGAUAUCUGGAGGAACAUCAGUGGCGAAGGCGACUAUCUGGCACAUAACUGACGCUGAGGAGCGAAAGCGUGGGUAGCAAACAGGAUUAGAUACCCCUGUAGUC
This 465-nucleotide ribosomal RNA is filed under the name uncultured bacterium. Its description in RNAcentral is "partial 16S ribosomal RNA". It matches the Rfam family "Bacterial small subunit ribosomal RNA", at positions 338 to 795 of the family's 1533-position model. The record is from RNAcentral.